ACGACGUCGAGCUACUACGGUAGUGAAGUCAUUGAUGCCAUGCUUCCAGGAAAAGCCUCUAAGCUUCAGAUUGUAAGGAAUCGUACCCCAAACCGACACAGGUGGUCGGGUAGAGAAUACCAAGGCGCUUGAGAGAACUCGGGUGAAGGAACUAGGCAAAAUGGUACCGUAACUUCGGGAGAAGGUACGCUCUUGAUGGUGAAGUCCCUUGCGGAUGGAGCUGACGAGAGUCGCAGAUACCAGGUGGCUGCAACUGUUUAUUAAAAACACAGCACUGUGCAAAAUCGUAAGAUGACGUAUACGGUGUGACGCCUGCCCGGUGCCGGAAGGUUAAUUGAUGGGGUUAGCGUAAGCGAAGCUCUUGAUCGAAGCCCCGGUAAACGGCGGCCGUAACUAUAACGGUCCUAAGGUAGCGAAAUUCCUUGUCGGGUAAGUUCCGACCUGCACGAAUGGCGUAAUGAUGGCCACGCUGUCUCCACCCGAGACUCAGUGAAAUUGAAAUCGCUGUGAAGAUGCAGUGUACCCGCGGCUAGACGGAAAGACCCCGUGAACCUUUACUACAGCUUGGCACUGAACAUUGAACCUACAUGUGUAGGAUAGGUGGGAGGCUUUGAAGACGUGACGCCAGUUGCGUUGGAGCCGUCCUUGAAAUACCACCCUUGUAUGUUUGAUGUUCUAACGUUGGCCCCUAAUCGGGGUUGCGGACAGUGCCUGGUGGGUAGUUUGACUGGGGCGGUCUCCUCCCAAAGAGUAACGGAGGAGCACGAAGGUGGGCUAAUCACGGUUGGACAUCGUGAGGUUAGUGCAAUGGCAUAAGCCCGCUUAACUGCGAGAAUGACGGUUCGAGCAGGUGCGAAAGCAGGUCAUAGUGAUCCGGUGGUUCUGAAUGGAAGGGCCAUCGCUCAACGGAUAAAAGGUACUCCGGGGAUAACAGGCUGAUACCGCCCAAGAGUUCAUAUCGACGGCGGUGUUUGGCACCUCGAUGUCGGCUCAUCACAUCCUGGGGCUGAAGUCGGUCCCAAGGGUAUGGCUGUUCGCCAUUUAAAGUGGUACGCGAGCUGGGUUUAGAACGUCGUGAGACAGUUCGGUCCCUAUCUGCCGUGGGCGUUGGAAGAUUGAAGGGGGCUGCUCCUAGUACGAGAGGACCGGAGUGGACGAACCUCUGGUGUUCGGGUUGUGUCGCCAGACGCAUUGCCCGGUAGCUAAGUUCGGAAUCGAUAACCGCUGAAAGCAUCUAAGCGGGAAGCGAGCCCUGAGAUGAGUCUUCCCUGAUACUUUAAGUAUCCUGAAGGG
This 1293-nucleotide ribosomal RNA is filed under the name Vibrio vulnificus. RNAcentral describes it as "partial 23S ribosomal RNA". It matches the Rfam family "Bacterial large subunit ribosomal RNA", at positions 1563 to 2834 of the family's 2925-position model. Lineage: Bacteria; Pseudomonadati; Pseudomonadota; Gammaproteobacteria; Vibrionales; Vibrionaceae. The record is from RNAcentral.